RNAcentral lists this ribosomal RNA (380 nucleotides) under Chloroflexota bacterium. Its description in RNAcentral is "Chloroflexi bacterium (marine metagenome) partial 23S ribosomal RNA". It matches the Rfam family "Bacterial large subunit ribosomal RNA", at positions 2551 to 2925 of the family's 2925-position model. Lineage: Bacteria; Bacillati; Chloroflexota. The record is from RNAcentral.
GGCUGAAGGCGGUCCCAAGGGUUGGGCUGUUCGCCCAUUAAAGCGGCACGCGAGCUGGGUUCAGAGCGUCGUGAGACAGCUCGGUCUCUAUCCGCCGUGGGCGCAGGACAAUUGAGGGGCGCCGCUCCUAGUACGAGAGGACCGGAGUGGACGGACCACUGGUGUGCCGGUUGUAUCGCCAGAUGCAUCGCCGGGUAGCCAUGUCCGGACGGGAUAAGCGCUGAAAGCAUAUAAGCGCGAAGCCCUCCCCAAGAUUAGUUGUCCCGCCCUUCUUAGGAAGGGGUAAGAUCCCACGUAGACUACGUGGUAGAUAGGCCACAGGUGUAAGGGCAGCAAUGUCCUCAGCUGAGUGGUACUAAUGGAUCGAGGGCUUGACCCAC